CUACAUUCCAAAACAAAGCUCAAGAAUAUUUAAAGGAAUACAAACAUAUCAAGCACCCAACAAGGUAAAAUUCACAAUGUCUGGCA
This is a long non-coding RNA of Nomascus leucogenys (northern white-cheeked gibbon), 86 nucleotides long. RefSeq lists it as uncharacterized. The transcript has 3 exons. NCBI's taxonomy places the organism in Eukaryota, Metazoa, Chordata, Mammalia, Primates, Hylobatidae. The record is from RefSeq and is a predicted model, not a curated record.